UGGGGAAUUUUGCGCAAUGGGCGAAAGCCUGACGCAGCAACGCCGCGUGGGUGAUGAAGGUCUUCGGAUCGUAAAACCCUGUCGUCAGGGACGAAGGUUGUAUGUCUAAUAGAUGUGCAACUUGACGGUACCUGGAGAGGAAGCCCCGGCUAACUCUGUGCCAGCAGCCGCGGUAAUACAGAGGGGGCAAGCGUUAUUCGGAAUUAUUGGGCGUAAAGGGCGCGUAGGCGGUGGUUUAAGUGAGAUGUGUAAUCCCCGAGCUUAACUUGGGAACUGCAUCUCAGACUGGAUCGCUAGAGUGCUGGAGAGGGUGGUGGAAUUCCACGUGUAGCGGUGAAAUGCGUAGAGAUGUGGAGGAACACCAGUGGCGAAGGCGGCCACCUGGACAGUAACUGACGCUGAGGCGCGAAAGUGUGGGGAGCAAACA
This 427-nucleotide ribosomal RNA is filed under the name uncultured bacterium. RNAcentral's name for it is "bacterial SSU rRNA". It matches the Rfam family "Bacterial small subunit ribosomal RNA", at positions 355 to 774 of the family's 1533-position model. The record is from RNAcentral.